UGAAAUGGGUGUAAUUGGGUACAAAUAUGCCAUUUCACAGUUUAGCCAGCAUUUGUUGUUCUGAACUGGUUCAUUGCUUUUGUCUACAAGACAAAGAUCAUGUCACCAUGACAACUUUAGACAACAGCUUGUGUUUACUUCAGCUGCAAAAGAGAGGACCUCGUAUGAGGAUUUGAACGAUGGCAGGACGCAGAUCUAGGAACAGUAUUUCUGUGAAGAUGUGCCCUCAGCAGAGAGCUCGACAUGAGGCCUACAGCGAGCCGUCUAAAGAAGCGCAGAGAUGGAUGGCAGUGGCAAGACAGCGUGUGUGUGCACAACUAAAUAAUCAACAAUCCCAGCAGGUCUGCAACUCCACCGCUGCUGCUGAGCGCCAAAAUCAGCUCACAGCACAAUUAAAGGCCUCUGAGGCCAGGAGUCGUAUCCGACAACAGAGACUUCGCUAUCAAGAGCUAAAGGCAGGGAACUUUUUUAAAUGAUACUUUAUUUUAAUAUAGGGUGUAGACAAACUCUUUAUUAUGGAAUCUUACACUGCAUAAUACAAACUUGAAAUUAAAAGUAGUUGCAGCUUUUUA
This is a non-coding RNA of Danio rerio (zebrafish), 572 nucleotides long. The record is from RefSeq and is a predicted model, not a curated record. Lineage: Eukaryota; Metazoa; Chordata; Actinopteri; Cypriniformes; Danionidae.